This 465-nucleotide ribosomal RNA is filed under the name uncultured bacterium. RNAcentral describes it as "partial 16S ribosomal RNA". It matches the Rfam family "Bacterial small subunit ribosomal RNA", at positions 29 to 507 of the family's 1533-position model. The record is from RNAcentral.
AAUGAACGUUGGCGGCGUGGAUUAGGCAUGCAAGUCGAGCGAGAACCCCGCAAGGGGGGACAGCGGCGAAAGGGACAGUAAUGUGUAGAUUAUCUGCCCUCAGGUCCGGGAUAGCUGCGGGAAACUGCAGGUAAUACCGGAUAACAUCUCCGGAUCAAAGGUGUGAUUCCGCCUGAGGAUGAGUCUGCAUCCUAUUAGCUAGUUGGUGGGGUAAUGGCCUACCAAGGCAUUGAUGGGUAGCAGGUGUGAGAGCACGACCUGCGUCAUUGGGACUGAGACACUGCCCAGACACCUACGGGUGGCUGCAGUCGAGAAUCUUCGGCAAUGGGCGCAAGCCUGACCGAGCGACGCCGCGUGUGGGAUGAAGGCCUGCGGGUUGUAAACCACUGUCAGAGGGGAUGAAAUGCAGGUGGGUGCUCCCAUCUGUUUGACAUAGCCUCAGAGGAAGGACGGGCUAAGUUCGUG